GUAGUUUUACUGAGCAAGAAUGGUAAGGAGAGAAAGUCAACACUGUUGGGAAUAGAUUGGGGAAAGCUUAUAAUAACAAACCAUGGAAUCUAAGGAAGGGCAAAAGGGACUUUCUAGAUGCAAUUACAUUAAGGAUUUUGAAAUGGGGAGAUUAACCUGGAUUACCUGGAUGAGUUCAGUGAGAUCACAAGGAUGGAUAAAUGCCAAGGAAUGCCAGCAUCCUCUAGAAACUGAAAAAGUCAAGGAAAUGAAUUCUCCCCUAAAGCCUCCAGAAGAAACAUGGCCCUACUGACACUUUGAGUUUAGGCUUCUGACAUCCAGUAGUGUAAGAGAAUAAAUUUGUGUUGUAAGUUACUAAAUUUGUGGUCAUUUGUUACAGUAGUAGGAAACUUACACAGUGGUCUUGGAUAAAGAAAAGAGGCUCCAGGUGAUCAACUUGAGAAGGGGUCAAGAGUGAUGGCUUGUUUGGAUUUGGGUCCCUGACAAAGGGCCCUUCAGAACCAUGACACCAGCAUAACCCAAGAUUUCAGCAAAAGAGAAGGCUCUCUUUGCCAAAUCUCCAGAGAGAGGAGCAAGAAAUAUUCCUGCCUUCAAGGAGUUCAUGGUUUAAGGAGGAAGAUACACACACACAUGCUAUGGGAUACGAUUCUAGCUGAG
Long non-coding RNA from Felis catus (domestic cat), 657 nucleotides. RefSeq lists it as uncharacterized. The transcript is spliced from 3 exons. NCBI's taxonomy places the organism in Eukaryota, Metazoa, Chordata, Mammalia, Carnivora, Felidae. The record is from RefSeq and is a predicted model, not a curated record.